RNAcentral lists this ribosomal RNA (424 nucleotides) under Verrucomicrobiota bacterium. RNAcentral's name for it is "Verrucomicrobia bacterium partial 16S ribosomal RNA". It matches the Rfam family "Bacterial small subunit ribosomal RNA", at positions 355 to 776 of the family's 1533-position model. The record is from RNAcentral. Lineage: Bacteria; Pseudomonadati; Verrucomicrobiota.
UGAGGAAUAUUGGUCAAUGGGCGAGAGCCUGAACCAGCCAAGUAGCGUGCAGGAUGACGGCCCUAUGGGUUGUAAACUGCUUUUAUAUGGGAAUAAAGUGAGGGACGUGUCCCUUAUUGCAUGUACCAUACGAAUAAGGACCGGCUAAUUCCGUGCCAGCAGCCGCGGUAAUACGGAAGGUCCAGGCGUUAUCCGGAUUUAUUGGGUUUAAAGGGAGCGUAGGCUGUUUGUUAAGCGUGGUGUGAAAUGUAGGAGCUCAACUUUUAGAUUGCAGCGCGAACUGGCAGACUUGAGUGCGCACAACGUAGGCGGAAUUCAUGGUGUGGCGGUGAAAUGCUUAGAUAUCAUGACGAACUCCGAUUGCGAAGGCAGCUUACGGGAGCGCAACUGACGCUAAAGCUCGAAGGUGCGGGUAUCGAACAGG